This 242-nucleotide non-coding RNA is filed under the name Desulfuromonadaceae bacterium. Its description in RNAcentral is "T-box sequence". It matches the Rfam family "T-box leader". From Rfam's summary of the family: Uncharged tRNA acts as the effector for transcription antitermination of genes in the T-box leader family. Lineage: Bacteria; Pseudomonadati; Thermodesulfobacteriota; Desulfuromonadia; Desulfuromonadales; Desulfuromonadaceae. The record is from RNAcentral.
UUAACGACGUUGAAGAGGAGUAGUAGGCAGUUUUUUCCGUUUCAGAGAGCCGGCGGUCGCUGCGAGCCGGUACGGAUAUCUGCUGAACUCGCCUCGGAGUCGCACCGGUGAAGCUGCUGGCCGCAGUUGUAGUUAGCCCGUGCCGUGAGCCUGCGUAAAGGGAUAACGAAGGUCUGCCGAAGCUUAGGCGAAGGCGGACGAAUUCAGGGUGGUACCGCGAAGCGUAAGCUCUCGCCCCUGUA